Molecule: RNA transcript, 2206 nt
Organism: Tyto alba (common barn owl)
Lineage: Eukaryota; Metazoa; Chordata; Aves; Strigiformes; Tytonidae
Exons: 3
Source: RefSeq, a predicted model, not a curated record
UGCUCACUUGCAAGCGAGGAGGCGGCGGCGGUGGCUAAUCCUUCUAACGAUGAUUUUCUCCUUGCAGUAUUUCUUUUUGCUGACCAUAGACUUACUACUCGCGAUGACCCUUUCCUGCCUCUUUUAUGCCCUUGUAUGCAUUUCCAUCGCAUUUUUGACGUGCUUCAUUAUCGUCUCCUUCGGCAUUGUGGAGAGGAAUGUUGAUGUGAAAGGGAGAGCAAUUGUAAUUCUCAUGUCCAACAGCUCCAUUGGGAAGAUGUUUGCGAGGAACCUGGAUAAAGCAGGCUUUAGGGUGUCUGCUGCAUACUGGCCUCCUCGAGAGGAAGGGACAGCUACGGAAGAAGAGUGCUCUUCAAGCAUGGAGGCAGCCCAGCUCCACAUGACCAAAGAUGAGUAUCAGAAGACAAUGAAAACCUUCAUAGAAAGCCACUUAUCCCUGAAAGGGGAAGGAGCCUGCUCUGGUGGCUGUGAAAGGCCCCAGUAGACCCCAGUCCCUGGAGGAAGGCAAGGUAGGCCAAGGAAUGAGGGGGAGAAGGUCCCACCAAGGCACAGAGGGCUGGACUCACUCUGGGGAGAAAACACAGGGAUGAACAAGGCGGGAGCAGAGGCUCAGACAGUGACCUGAGAUGAAGGAAUGUGUCUGAUUUUUAACCUCUUCUGGAUUAAAAAACCUGGGGUCCCUCUUGACUUCUUGCCUGGUGUGGGAUUCAUAAGAAACUGUCAGGUCAGAGCUUUGGCUGGCGGGUUGGGAUUGUCUCUCUGAACCACGCUGCUGUCGUUUCUGCGGGGAUACGGGACUGAAAGCAACCUGAAGAGCUCACCUGGGACAGCACGAGGCAAGUGUGCGACUGAGGGGAUGGCUGUAAGCACUUCUGCUGGGGAAUCUCCCCAGUUCUCUCUAGGUGGGAGAUGCAGGGUGCCAAUGGGCAGGCUAGCUUACACCCUAGCUGAAUUAGCUCCACUAUCCAGGAGUCUCUGUCCUCGCAGCCGUACUUUUACACCUCUUGGGGGGGGGUGACAGAAAAUUCAGCCUCAGCCACCAGGGCUGUAACCUCACUGCCUGCAGGGCUACGGGGUUACAAGAGAAGAAGCCACUGUGAACCUCUCUAAAGCAUGUCUGAGCAGUGAAGCUCUCUCACUGCUUCCCCAUACUGCCUCUUCCUUUCUCCAGCUUCUCCAUCCCUUUCCUCCUUGCUCUUCUCUCUGUGAUUUCUCUGAGGUUCCCUUUGAGGUCUCCCCAGGGCAGCCUCACUGCUUGCUCACACUGAGCCGAGAUCUCACCAUGACAACUGAAAAGACCCUUUGCAUUGCUGCCCAGCACUGAAAGUUGUCUUUGUGCUCCCAGGCUCUGCAGAGGAAGGACACUUUGGAAGUCGGAGCAGGCACCACGAAGCCUCCCCUACUGCAGACACCCUUCAGGGAGGCGAAGCAUCCAGCAGACCAGAAGUGCCUGCGGUCAGAUCCUGUGUGACUCUGCAUGGCCCAGGAUACAUCCCUCCACAUUCACUAGCAGCCUGCAGGCUUCAGGAACGGGUGCACUGCACACCAACAGAGGGUUUCAGACCAAGCACUCAGCUGCCUGCAUGAGUAUUUAGGCUAAUUUGUGCUAGUAGAAUUAUUCUGGUAAAACUUGCCUGUGUGGACAAGGCCUAAAAGCUCACAAGGCCGAGUACCACCACACACCUGCUCUGGAAACGAACAACAGAGACCUUCUUAACCAGUAAUGCUCCAUGGGAGCUGGUGAUUUCUGUGGGUCUGUGCUCUUUUCAUUAAAUGAGGAUCUGGCCCAGUGAUAUCUGCCUUUUUUGCUUUUGAAUACUUUGAUCACUGUGCUAGUUAAGGCAUUUUGCAGGUUUUUUUUUGUUUUUUUUUUUUUUUUUUUGACAGUGUACUCUAUUGUAGGAACCAUGAGGUUUAACAUUUAGGAUCUCCUGCAUACUAUUCACACCCCAGAUGGGGAUGUUAAAAUGUAUUUCCCAAGAGCUGACCCAAUUGCAUGGCAGAUCAAAGCACUGUGUUGGGGUGGGAGAAGGGAGAGAAAAAGAAAACAAAAGAAACCUCACAGUUUUCUUGGAUUUCUUUGUUAACAGUUUCGAAUGAAUUCUGGUGUUCAUACUGUAAGAUUUGCUGUAAUAUUUGUGGCAUGGGUUGAGUGAACAUGAACACCUGCCACCGGCUGACUGAUAAUAAAACAAUUUAAACCAAA